CACACUGUAUUUUCACUUAAUGACAGUUUAUUUGAACGUUUUGUUCAGUGUUUGGUUGGACUAACAGACACUCCAAGGAGUCCCUGCUCAGUUUUCUGAGGAAAGGUACUGUACUUGGUUGUGGCUGCAACUGUGCUGCUGCUGAGUCUGUUUUUGUACUUUAAACUGAGGAACCACAAACAUGACACAGCAGGUGAGGGAUUAUCAGUUAGAGACCACCAGCAGCCUCCACACUGAAGCUGGAGACCACACAUCAGUGAGGACUUCCAUCUCUCUACUCCACAGCCUGCUUCAACACAGAGGCAGUCACCCAGCCCAGGAGACACCUCAUAUAGCUGGACCCUCUGGCGUGUACACCACCACCAGACACUCAAAGACAUGGUUCCUGCUAGUGUUAUUGUUGCUAUACAGUAUGUAUAGAGACUGUAUCCCAAAUUGGGCACAUCUGCAGUGCCGCAUUUUCCGGUGUCAGUCCCCACCAAUGUAGGUAUAAUUGAUUUAUAUAUUUUACAAUCUACAUGUGAAAUUUCAUUUAUAUACAUGGAGAUUUACAUGUUGAAUUACAAUAUGAAAGUAACUCUGAUGAGAGAAAGCAGUAAGAAUGCUUGGGAGACCAGACGACGAUCUUAAAAGUAUCUUUAUUUUUACUGUAUUGUAUUUUAUUGUGAAUGACAGAAGUAUGGUCCGGUUGUGUUGAUAACGAUGGUUGAUAAAGGUGAUAUUUAUUUGGAUUACCCAGAAACAUCCAAUUUCCCCCGAACAACUCAGGAGCCCCCAUUGUUUUACAGCGAGGAGAUCCAAGUGUACGAUUCGGGAUACAGUUAGCACACGGCUAAGGAUGACGUUAGCAUCCCUUAGCCGACUCUGGUAAACCUGAGCCUAAUGUACAAGGUUAAAACCAUAUACGGUUCGAAAGAUAAGAAGUUAGUCUUUAGUUUCACACCAUUUAAUUAAUUGGAAGCAUAACAUGAUCAUUUAAAUUAGUAGUUAAUGUGAAUAGAAUCUCAGCCGAAUGGUGUCCGAUUUGGGAUACAGUUACGUUGUCCCUUUGUAUAUUUUUAAUAUCUUGUCAAUCAUUUAUCCAUGCAGUUUGAUGUCGGGUUGAUAAAUUUCAAUUCCUAUUUUCAAUUCAAUGUAUCAUUGUAUUACUUUCUUUUCACUUGUGUGUAGUUAAGAAUUAAAAGUAAAAGCUAAGUUGAUUGUAUAGAAGUCUAUGAGAAAAUGACCCUUCUUCUCACUUGAUUUAUUUCAUCAGUAAACAUUUUCUUCUUAAAUACAGCAUGAUAUUAUUAAUAUUGUGUAAAUUAUGAUUCCAUCUAG
Centropristis striata (black sea bass) is the source of this 1320-nucleotide long non-coding RNA. RefSeq lists it as uncharacterized. Lineage: Eukaryota; Metazoa; Chordata; Actinopteri; Perciformes; Serranidae. The record is from RefSeq and is a predicted model, not a curated record. The transcript has 3 exons.